CGGCCACAUUGGGACUGAGACACGGCCCAGACUCCUACGGGAGGCAGCAGUGGGGAAUAUUGCACAAUGGGGGAAACCCUGAUGCAGCGACGCCGCGUGGAGGAAGAAGGUUUUCGGAUUGUAAACUCCUGUUGUUGAGGAAGAUAAUGACGGUACUCAACAAGGAAGUGACGGCUAACUACGUGCCAGCAGCCGCGGUAAAACGUAGGUCACAAGCGUUGUCCGGAAUUACUGGGUGUAAAGGGAGCGCAGGCGGGCGAUCAAGUUGGAAGUGAAAUCCAUGGGCUCAACCCAUGAACUGCUUUCAAAACUGGUCGUCUUGAGUAGUGCAGAGGUAGGCGGAAUUCCCGGUGUAGCGGUGGAAUGCGUAGAUAUCGGGAGGAACACCAGUGGCGAAGGCGGCCUACUGGGCACCAACUGACGCUGAGGCUCGAAAGUGUGGGUAGCAAACAGGAUUAGAUACCCUGGUAGUCCACACCGUAAACGAUGAUUACUAGGUGUUGGGAGAUUGACCCUCUCAGUGCCGCAGUUAACACAAUAAGUAAUCCACCUGGGGAGUACGACCGCAAGGUUGAAACUCAAAGGAAUUGACGGGGGCCCGCACAAGCAGUGGAGUAUGUGGUUUAAUUCGACGCAACGCGAAGAACCUUACCAAGUCUUGACAUCCUCUGACGAACGUAGAAAUACGUUUUCUCUUCGGAGCAGAGAGACAGGUGGUGCAUGGUUGUCGUCAGCUCGUGUCGUGAGAUGUUGGGUUAAGUCCCGCAACGAGCGCAACCCUUAUGGUCAGUUACUACGCAAGAGGACUCUGGCCGGACUGCCGUUGACAAAACGGAGGAAGGUGGGGAUGACGUCAAAUCAUCAUGCCCUUAUGACUUGGGCUACACACGUACUACAAUGGCGUUAAACAAAGAGAAGCAAGACCGCAAGGUGGAGCAAAACUCAGAAACAACGUCCCAGUUCGGACUGCAGGCUGCAACUCGCCUGCACGAAGUCGGAAUUGCUAGUAAUCGUGGAUCAGCAUGCCACGGUGAAUACGUUACCGGGCCUUGUACACACCGCCCGUCACACCAUGAGAGCCGGGGGGACCCGAAGUCGGUAGUCUAACCGCAAGGAGGACGCCGCCGAAGGUAAAACUGGUGAUUGGGGUGAAGUCGUAACAAGGUAGCCGUAGGAGAACCUGCGGCUG
RNAcentral lists this ribosomal RNA (1189 nucleotides) under metagenome. RNAcentral's name for it is "bacterial SSU rRNA". It matches the Rfam family "Bacterial small subunit ribosomal RNA", at positions 305 to 1520 of the family's 1533-position model. The record is from RNAcentral.